RNAcentral lists this non-coding RNA (25 nucleotides) under Rattus norvegicus (Norway rat). Lineage: Eukaryota; Metazoa; Chordata; Mammalia; Rodentia; Muridae. The record is from RNAcentral.
UGCCACAUUCUGGAAUGGAGGGAAG